Molecule: long non-coding RNA, 3690 nt
Organism: Rhipicephalus sanguineus (brown dog tick)
Lineage: Eukaryota; Metazoa; Arthropoda; Arachnida; Ixodida; Ixodidae
Exons: 4
Source: RefSeq, a predicted model, not a curated record
CGUGCGUGAACGAUCGCCCGCUUGUGAAAAGUUAGUGCGACGCAGUGUUUCGUCUACGUAAGAUACCACUUUCACAAGAACAAAAAGGUUAUAAGUGCGAAGAGCGUGCCGUGCGGUGGUUUAACUGCAAGGACGUUGACGACUUCACCCCUGGGGAUGUCUUCAGUGCUUACUGGGAGCGGCGAUGAGAAGACCAAAGUCGGCUCUACGACACCGUGCUUCUGCAUAUGACAGUCCAAACAAGAAAUGGACCAAUGUUUCAAUGCAUACGGAACAAAAAAAAAAGAUACGCCGACCAGCCCAAACAAACAUUUAUGACGUCUCGGCUUUCAGCACGCAAGCCUUGAUCACAAUGAAUGCAUCACCAGAAGUGCUUCGUUUAAAUGGGCUUGAGUAAUCACUGCAAAGGCUGUGCGUAAAUGGGGUUUCGAUUUCCGUCGUUAAGAUUAACUCUCUUGCAAAUGGUCUGUAUGAUAAGUGAUUCUGUACGUCACCGAGAUGCUGCCAUGUUUUCUAUUGUGACGAUUUUUGCGUUGGUCCAAUCAAUCUUGUGGUCAUUCAUCACGGCGUGUUCAGCUAAAGCGUUGUUGUGGACGCUCUUAUUUUUUGUCACGAGCGUGCUGCUGCAGACGCUUCUUGUAGUUUCCUGACUCUCCGAUGUAAACACUCUUGCAGUCUGCCAAGGUAUCUAGUAAACUACACUGGGGAAUUGCUCCCUGGGCAGGCGGUCCUUCACUCUUACAAGUUGAUGGCGCAUCUUUUUGGGUGAAAUGUGUGCCACAUACAUGUCAUACUCAUGUCGGACAUGUGCCAAACAUUCGCUUGUUGCAGAAAUAUGCGUUACAGGGGCUCGCUUCGUAGACGCGGGGGCCAGCAGGGAGGAAGUGCGUCAAGGUGUCAUUGUCAUGACAGCUGAAUUUCGCCUCUGUGCACUCCGCUUUCAACAAGAGGGCUGUUGUCAGCACGCUGCUACAGCAUGCCAAAAGAUUGGGCUCAAAGCCACAUGAUGCAGGCAUGGCAAAGGUACGGGAUGACCUCGCUCAUUGUGGAUACCCUAGGCACUUUACCAGUGCAAUAGACUGUCAACUGUCAUGACGGGUACACACUUACGUGCCUGCUUCCUGCUGGCCCCCUCCUCUACGAAGCAAGCCCCCGUACCGUAUAUUUCUUGAACAAACGAAUGUUUGGCACAUGUCCUACGUGAGUAUGACAUGUAUGUGGCACAAAUUCCACCCGAAAGUUCGUGCCAUCAACUUAUGUGAGUGAAGGAUCACCUGCCCAGGGAGCGUUUCCCCAGUGUAGUUUUACUAGGUACCUUGAGCAGACUGCAAGGGUGUUCACAUCUGAGUCAGGAAACUGCAAGAAGCGUAUGCAACAGUAUGCCUGUGAUGUAAAUAAUACAAGCAUUCGCAACAAAGCUUCAGCAGAACACGCCAUGAUGAAUGACUACAAGAUUGAUUGGACCAACGCAAGAAUCGUCACAGCAGAAAAAGUGACAGCAUCUUGGCUACGUAUGGAAUCGUUUAUCAUGCAGACCACUUCUAAAAGAGGCAUGGCAAAGGUACGGGAUAACCUUAACAACAGAAAUCUAAACGUGAUCAAUGCGAGGUCCUUGCAGCAAUUUCUCAAACCUAUUCAAAUGAACCGCCUCUGCUGAUGCAUUCAUUGUCAACAAGGCUUCCAUGCUCAAAGCCGAAACGUGAUAAACGUUUGUUUGGUCUGGUCGGCAUCUCUUUUUGUUUCAAAUGUACGGUGCCGGCCACACGGGAUUCCUUCACGCUGCCGACUUCCAUGCCAACACAAAGAGUGCAGAAACCGCAACAGAAGGUGACGUAAUGGGAAAGCUGUAUAUCUUCUUUUGCUUCGAAAGCUUUUCAGAUACAGCGCCCUAGCAUCCUUGGUUCUUACAUAACUCAUAUUAUGUGUAGCAUCUGGAAUACUGUACUCUAUGUCAAUAGUUUCUUGCUGCACUGGGGAAGCCGCAGGAUUCAUUUGCGGACAGAAAUACCAAAUCUUCCUAAAUAUGCAUUAAUUUAUGCCAUGUCGUCAGCUCAACGUCUGCUUGCCAUGUUGUCUGUGCCUCCUAUGUGCUUAGUGAAUUGACCCAGCAAAUAUUUGGCAUUUUAACCAUAAACUGUGUUUACAUGAACGUGGCAGUAGGGCCUUGCUUCACAUAUACAUUUUUCAGCAGUUUCCUGCAGCUUCCUUAGAUUUUAAGUAAGGACAAACACUUUGCACACAAGCGUAAAAAGACAUGGAAACACAUGAGCAUAAAGGUAUGUGCUAGCGCAAUUACAUGUCGUGACACCAGGUGCCCUCUUUUUCACAAGUCUCUAAAAUGCACUUUGGCACAUGCCUGGCAGUCUCAUAACGUCUUGCAUUCGCCUUCACAACUUGAUGCCUUUCAUGUCCUGCACAACAGGAUUGCUUUUCUUGAAAAUCAGUCACAUUUGUGCGCCAUGAAUGGGAAGCAUGGAGUGAUGUUUUGUCUUCUGUAUCUGGACCCAUGUGGAUGGCGCCAGCCAAGAAUGGCAAAAAUAGGGAAAACCUGUGCCACUCACACAAUAUUUCAUCCAUGUGAAUUACAAACUUUUAAGCAUUUUUUAAUUAGCAGUUAUCGUCUACUAGUGAAGUGUUGCCAGCUGAAGUGUGCAAGCUUCUCCAUGUCUUGACACCACCCCCCUUCAUGUGCUUCUUGUGUCACUGAUCAUGGACACCUAAUUUUCAGAUGCUGUCACCAUUUGCCAAAUUUUACGAAACAUUAAGAUCACAGUGGCGCAUCCCAUUUGAGAAAGGUUUGAGGGCUUUCACAGCAGGUGCCAUGCCACUUUGAGGCUGUGUUGUUGCCAUGCUGAAUGAUUCUUUAAAGUACUCUUAUUUGACUACUGAAACCUCAUAUUAAUUUCAGAGUUCAUUGAAAGUGGCAUGGUUGAGAUGUCCGCCAAGAACCGAAUCCUGGUUAGGGAAUGAGAGCGCGAUGUGAACACUGCCUGAUUACACUGUGGCACCCAAGACUUGAAGGCGAAGGUCAAGCGUUCUCCAAGUGUUUUUAAGCAUUGUUGGUAGGGUGAGAUAGUAAACAGAUAUUAAUAAGAAAAUCCUAAUAAAUUAGGUUGCUUUGCAGAAACUGUGUGGGAACAGAGCUAAGUCAUUUUCUGAAUACCCAUGCAGGCCACUUGCCACUUCGUUGCAAAGGAGACUACUAAGGAGGCGUUUCUGGAUGACACGGCCUGUUCGAGCCUUCCAUUGUGGGAUGAAUAGUUAUUCCCAUCAUUAGAGCCUUCACCAAAUGAGAUUGGAGGUUCAGCACAGUGUUGCUAUGGCAGCAACAACUGCGCCUGCUACUGACUCUGCUGCCACCUCAUAUCCUGCAGCGAGACCAACUAUAUGUGCUGCCUCUUCUGGUCCUGCAGCCUUAGCAGUCACACUGCCUUCUGCCUCUGAUGCUGACAUGUCGCAGUGUUCGUUCAGCAAGGAUGAACAGCUAAGAUAAUCAAGGAUCCACAAGGAGUAUUAUAGGUUGACCUGCCUAACGGUGGGACGCUAUCAAGGACCGCCUCGAGAAAGGACUUCCAUUUGGUUCAGCGGUCCACCAUCGCAAUAUGGUGGACAGAUGCCCACGCACAUAGGAGCUUCACGGGAACGAACCGUUUUGCAGUAGCAGGCGGCCAGAAGCCUGCACAUCGGCCA